CUCUAGUUAGCUAAUUUGUUAUAAGUGUUAGACUCUUAAUCUAAUUAUGAUAGUUAAAUUCUAUCACUGGAGA
RNAcentral lists this transfer RNA (73 nucleotides) under Stephanometra indica. RNAcentral describes it as "tRNA-Lys". It matches the Rfam family "tRNA". From Rfam's summary of the family: Transfer RNA (tRNA) molecules are approximately 80 nucleotides in length. Their secondary structure includes four short double-helical elements and three loops (D, anti-codon, and T loops). Lineage: Eukaryota; Metazoa; Echinodermata; Crinoidea; Comatulida; Stephanometridae. The record is from RNAcentral.